RNAcentral lists this transfer RNA (84 nucleotides) under Trichonephila inaurata madagascariensis. It matches the Rfam family "tRNA". From Rfam's summary of the family: Transfer RNA (tRNA) molecules are approximately 80 nucleotides in length. Their secondary structure includes four short double-helical elements and three loops (D, anti-codon, and T loops). Lineage: Eukaryota; Metazoa; Arthropoda; Arachnida; Araneae; Nephilidae. The record is from Rfam by way of RNAcentral.
GUCAGGAUGGCCGAGCACUCUAAGAAGCUGCGUUCAGAUCGCAGUCCACUUGUGUGGGCGUGGGUUAGAAUCCCACUUCUGACA